RNAcentral lists this unclassified non-coding RNA (281 nucleotides) under rhizosphere metagenome. RNAcentral describes it as "partial ribosomal RNA internal transcribed spacer region". The record is from RNAcentral.
GUAGGUGAACCUGCGGAAGGAUCAUUACAAAAACAAAAUCCAAACCACACCAAAUGUGCUCUAUAAAUGCGAAAAGCUGUCUUUGUGUGUUGUUUGUUGUGAGGGAAGAAUUUAUUUUUUUCUCACACACACACACACACAAUCCUUCUUUUCUGCAUUGUCUUUGUUUAUCAAUUUUUUCAUUAACUCCUUGUUUAACCAACAACGGAUUACAAUGUUAAAACUUGAAACAAAAAAACAAAACAAAAUGACAACUUUUAACGGUGGAUCUCUUGGCUCGU